AGUCCUACGGGGGGCAGCAGUGAGGAAUAUUGGUCAAUGGGCGCGAGCCUGAUGGAGCAACACCGCGUGAGUGAAGAAGGGUUUCGGCUCGUAAAGCUCUGUUGGUAGUGAAGGAAGAUAGAGGUAGUAACAGGCCUUUAUUUUACGGUAAUUACUUAGAAAGGCACGGCUAACUACGUGCCAGCAGCCGCGGUAAUACGUAGGGGGCAAGCGUUAUCCGGAUUUAUUGGGUGUAAAGGGCGGGUAGGCGGGGUUGGAAGUCAG
Molecule: ribosomal RNA, 264 nt
Filed under: uncultured bacterium
Lineage: Bacteria
Description: partial 16S ribosomal RNA
Rfam family: Bacterial small subunit ribosomal RNA
Source: RNAcentral